AUGUGGAUCUUUCGAUUACUGCUGACUUAUUAAACCGUUUAUUGUUUAAACCGAAGUCUAAAGUAUUCUAUUCACUUUAUAAAAAAAUAAUCAGACAUUAUCAAGUUAAGUCCUUUUAGUUUUUGAGGUUUGCAAUAUUUUAUUUUAUUUUUUUUUCAAUGACAUUCUAGUAUGUAUUUUUUUUAGUUAACGAUCAUGCUCCAAAAAUUACCUACUUCAACUAUUAAUACUGUUUAGGUAAUUGCAAAUUAUUUUUUUCGGGAAAUAAAUAGUUCAGUAAAUAGUUUUUAAUAAAAUAAUAAAAAUUUAGAAGAAGGCUAAUACCAAAUUGUAUUUCUACGUUUCUCAGGGAAGUAAUAAAUAAAACUAUAAAAAAAAUAUUUAAAAAUGUUUUAAUACAGUAAUUGGCGUGACGCCUGUAUGUCCUAAGGAAGUCUUUACAGUGAAGGCAUCGUCGCUCGCUUUAGGCCAUGUUGAGGGGAAUCAUGUGAUGGAAAAUAGCAGAAGGCAGUCCAGGAUAUUAAGGAAUAUAUUUUUAGAGGAGGUCUGGAUGAGUCUAGUAGAAAAUUCAUUACCUUGUUGUAACACAUACAUAUUUUUGAAAGUUGAAGCGUCUCAAAGUAAUUUAAGUAACGUGUGUAAUGACAAUAUAUUUAUACCAUCUAAACCUUUAUUAGUUUCUAAUAAGAUAAAGCAAACUGUUAUUAAUUUUAAUUCAAAUUCUCAAGUGUUUUCAUGCUGUGAUAAAUUGGAAGUAUUUAAAGAUUCUUGCGAUGUGGAAGGUCCAGGAAAAUGUGAACGUAAUUUUAAUGAAAAAGACAAAAGUUCAGAAAAUGGAGAAACGUGGUUGCAGUCCACAAUUGUAAUUCGCGGUUUUAAAGAUUGUUUUGUAAAUAAAGUAGCGGCUUCUGAAUUAUGGUAAUCUUUUAGGGAGUAUCAAUUUUUAACUGGAAUUUUUUAUAUCUACAAUGAAUUUUAAGUAAAGAAAAUAUACCUACAUUUUUAUGAAA
Molecule: RNA transcript, 1010 nt
Organism: Tribolium castaneum (red flour beetle)
Lineage: Eukaryota; Metazoa; Arthropoda; Insecta; Coleoptera; Tenebrionidae
Exons: 2
Source: RefSeq, a predicted model, not a curated record